RNAcentral lists this ribosomal RNA (253 nucleotides) under uncultured bacterium. Its description in RNAcentral is "partial 16S ribosomal RNA". It matches the Rfam family "Bacterial small subunit ribosomal RNA", at positions 524 to 776 of the family's 1533-position model. The record is from RNAcentral.
UACGUAGGGUGCAAGCGUUGUCCGGAAUCAUUGGGCGUAAAGCGCGUGUAGGCGGUUCGGCAAGUCUGCUGUGAAAGUCCAGGGCUCAACCCUGGGAUGCCGGUGGAUACAGUCGGACUAGAGUACGGAAGAGGCGAGUGGAAUUCCCGGUGUAGCGGUGAAAUGCGCAGAUAUCGGGAGGAACACCAGUUGCGAAGGCAGCUCGCUGGGACGUUACUGACGCUGAGGCGCGAAAGCGUGGGGAGCAAACAGG